Molecule: transfer RNA, 69 nt
Filed under: Bos taurus (domestic cattle)
Lineage: Eukaryota; Metazoa; Chordata; Mammalia; Artiodactyla; Bovidae
Also listed under: 5 other names
Rfam family: tRNA
About the family: Transfer RNA (tRNA) molecules are approximately 80 nucleotides in length.
Source: Rfam by way of RNAcentral
CCUGACAGCUCAGUAGGUAAAGAAUCUGCCUGCAAUGCAGCAGACCCUGGUUCAAUUCCUGGGUCAGGA